CCUACGGGAGGCAGCAGUGGGGAAUAUUGGUCAAUGGGGGUAACCCUGAUCCAGCGACGCCGCGUGAGUGAAGAAGUAUUUCUGUAUGUAAAGCUCUAUCAGCAGGGAAGAAAGAAAUGACGGUACCUGACUAAGAAGCCCCGGCUAACUACGUGCCAUCAGCCGCGGGAAUACGUAGGGGGCAAGCGUUAUCCGGAUUUACUGGGUGUAAAGGGAGCGUAGACGGCGAUGCAAGUCUGAAGUGAAAGGCGGGGGCCCAACCCCCGGACUGCUUUGGAAACUGUAGGGCUGGAGUGCAGGAGAGGUAAGUGGAAUUCGUGGUGUAGCGGUGAAAUGCGUAGAUAUUAGGAGGAACACCAGUGGCGAAGGCGGCUUACUGGACUGUAACUGACGUUGAGGCUCGAAAGCGUGGGGAGCGAACAGGAUUAGAUACCCCAGUAGUC
This 443-nucleotide ribosomal RNA is filed under the name uncultured bacterium. RNAcentral's name for it is "partial 16S ribosomal RNA". It matches the Rfam family "Bacterial small subunit ribosomal RNA", at positions 338 to 795 of the family's 1533-position model. The record is from RNAcentral.